GAUGAACGCUAGCUACAGGCUUAACACAUGCAAGUCGAGGGGUAACGAGAGGAAAGCUUGCUUUCCUUGUCGACGACCGGCGCACGGGUGAGUAACGCGUAUCCAACCUGCCCCCAACUAGGGAAUAACCUUGCGAAAGUAAGACUAAUACCCUAUAAUUUCCUCAGAUGUCAUCUGACGAGGAAUAAAGAUUUAUCGGUUGUGGAUGGGGAUGCGUCUGAUUAGCUUGUUGGCAGGGUAACGGCCCACCAAGGCAACGAUCAGUAGGGGUUCUGAGAGGAAGGUCCCCCACAUUGGAACUGAGACACGGUCCAAACUCCUACGGGAGGCAGCAGUGAGGAAUAUUGGUCAAUGGGCGGAAGCCUGAACCAGCCAAGUAGCGUGCAGGAUGACGGCCCUAUGGGUUAUAAACUGCUUUUAUACAGGAAUAAAGUUAGCCACGUGUGGUUAUUUGUAGGUACUGUAUGAAUAAGGACCGGCUAAUUCCGUGCCAGCAGCCGCCGUAA
RNAcentral lists this ribosomal RNA (506 nucleotides) under uncultured bacterium. Its description in RNAcentral is "partial 16S ribosomal RNA". It matches the Rfam family "Bacterial small subunit ribosomal RNA", at positions 28 to 523 of the family's 1533-position model. The record is from RNAcentral.